UUCUUAUCCAGAGAGGUGGAGGGAUAUGGCCCCAUGAAGCCUCGGCAACAGGUUUUUAUAACCAUUUAUAAAAAGACUGUGCCAAAUCCAUCAAGUCCAUGUGACUUGAAAGAUAAGAA
This is a regulatory RNA element of 119 nucleotides. It matches the Rfam family "SAM riboswitch aptamer (S box leader)". Rfam says of the family: The SAM riboswitch is found upstream of a number of genes which code for proteins involved in methionine or cysteine biosynthesis in Gram-positive bacteria. The record is from Rfam.